RNAcentral lists this non-coding RNA (184 nucleotides) under Gallionella sp. RNAcentral's name for it is "6S RNA". It matches the Rfam family "6S / SsrS RNA". From Rfam's summary of the family: E. coli 6S RNA was the first non coding RNA to be sequenced, but its function was unknown until recently. It consists of 184 nucleotides that fold into an extended hairpin structure with a large single-stranded internal bulge. Lineage: Bacteria; Pseudomonadati; Pseudomonadota; Betaproteobacteria; Nitrosomonadales; Gallionellaceae. The record is from RNAcentral.
UGUCCCCUGCGGUGUUCGUCAGACCCAUAUAUUCUUUGAACCAAUAAGCUUUGCUUAAGGUCGCGGCCUUUAAUGUUACUGUUGUGCGUGUCCCCAAUCUGGCGGAUAUACCUGAUGUAACCUGGAAGCGACCCUCUUGAACCCAGGUUCAAGAUGCUGGGUCAACGGCACAGGCGGGGGGCUU